Molecule: long non-coding RNA, 601 nt
Organism: Coregonus clupeaformis (lake whitefish)
Lineage: Eukaryota; Metazoa; Chordata; Actinopteri; Salmoniformes; Salmonidae
Exons: 3
Source: RefSeq, a predicted model, not a curated record
CCCAGUCUCCUCAUGAUGUGACAGUAACAGAGGGGGGUACUGUUCAGAUCCAGUGCUGCUGGAAUAAAAAUGUGUCAAGAGCGACAGUUUAUUGGCAAAAAGAGCACACCGGGAUAAAAUAUAAGCGUGUACUGGUCGACAACAGUCAGUGUCAGGACAGGGCAUCUCAGCAGACUGUAGUCUGUUACUGCUCAAAUUGGACCAUCUCAAACCUCACUAGAAAUGACUCUGGCACUUACAUCUGUAAAGUUCAUGUAGAGAUGCCAUCUCUUUCUGAAUUCGUGGGGAAUGGGACACAGAUAACAGUUACAUCCCAAAAUAAGACAAACAAUGCAGAGCUCCCAGCAGAAAAGCAGUCCCUGCUGCUGUCUAUCAUGCGUCCUCUUGCUGUCCUGUCGCUGUUCCUCACCGCCCUCAUCUGCCUGUACAGGGCACGGAAAAGACACCAAGUGUCAAGUCCAGGUGUAUGAAUCACUCGAUUACAUGUCUAUACCGACCCAAGACAAAGGUUAAGGACCUGCUCAGCUCAGCCCAGUCUGUGAAUGUAUUUUCUAUGAGUGUAUUUUUCUAUUAUGUGGUCCUCUGUAGCUCAGCUGGUAGA